GAGUUUGAUCCUGGCUCAGAACGAACGCUGGCGGCGUGCUUAACACAUGCAAGUCAGGGAGAAAGUCUCUUCGGGGAUGAUUAAACCGGCGCACGGGUGAGUAACACGUGAGUGACCUGCCUUUUAGACUAGAACAACUUACCGAAAGGUGAGCUAAUGCCGGAUGAGUUAUAUAAGUGCAUGUUUAUAUAGGAAAAGUUGGGGAGACCUGACGCUGAAAGAUGGACUCGCGUCCCAUUAGCUAGUUGGUAGGGUAAUGGCCUACCAAGGCGACGAUGGGUAGCCGGCCUGAGAGGGUGGCCGGCCACACUGGGACUGAGACACGGCCCAGACUCCUACGGGAGGCAGCAGUGGGGAAUUUUGCGCAAUGCUCGUAAGAGUGACGCAGCGACGCCGCGUGAAUGACGAAGGCCUUCGGGUCGUAAAGUUCUUUCGACAGGGAAGAAAAUGCCUAUAAGUAACUGUGUAUGUAUUGACGGUACCUGUAUAAGCAGCCCCGGCUAACUCCAUGCCAGCAGCCGCGGUAAUACGGAGGGGGCGAGCGUUGUUCGGAGUGACUGGGCGUAAAGAGCACGUAGGCGGUGUUGUAAGUCAUUAGUCAAAGACUAGAGCUCAACUUUAGUAAGGCUAGUGAUACUAUAAUACUAGAGUAUCAGAGAGGAUUGCAGAAUUCCUGGUGUAGCGGUGAAAUGC
Molecule: ribosomal RNA, 693 nt
Filed under: uncultured bacterium
Lineage: Bacteria
Description: bacterial SSU rRNA
Rfam family: Bacterial small subunit ribosomal RNA
Source: RNAcentral